RNAcentral lists this ribosomal RNA (292 nucleotides) under uncultured bacterium. Its description in RNAcentral is "partial 16S ribosomal RNA". It matches the Rfam family "Bacterial small subunit ribosomal RNA", at positions 505 to 796 of the family's 1533-position model. The record is from RNAcentral.
GUUCCAGCAGCCGCGGUAAGACAGAGGGGGCAAGCGUUGCUCGGAAUUACUGGGCGUAAAGGGCGCGUAGGCGGGACGGCAAGUCGGUCGUGAAAUCCCUCGGCUCAACUGAGGAACGUCGAUCGAUACUGCCGUCCUUGAGGGUUGCAGAGGAGACUGGAAUUCCCGGUGUAGCGGUGAAAUGUGUAGAGAUCGGGAGGAACACCGGUGGCGAAGGCGGGUCUCUGGGCAACUCCUGACGCUGAGGCGCGAAAGCGUGGGGAGCAAACGGGAUUAGAUACCCCUGUAGUCC